This 345-nucleotide unclassified non-coding RNA is filed under the name soil metagenome. RNAcentral describes it as "partial contains 5.8S ribosomal RNA, internal transcribed spacer 2, and large subunit ribosomal RNA". The stretch from base 1 to 120 matches the Rfam family "5.8S ribosomal RNA", at positions 35 to 154 of the family's 154-position model. The record is from RNAcentral.
GAUGAAGAACGUAGCGAAAUGCGAUACGUAAUGUGAAUUGCAGAACUCAGUGAAUCAUCGAGUCUUUGAACGCACAUUGCGCCCCCUGGUAUUCCGGGGGGCAUGCCUGUCCGAGCGUCAUUGCUGCCCUCAAGCACGGCUUGUGUGUUGGGCCUCCGUCCUCCUCCCGGGGGACGGGCCCGAAAGGCAGCGGCGGCACCGCGUCCGGUCCUCGAGCGUAUGGGGCUUCGUCACCCGCUCUUGUAGGCCCGGCCGGCGCUUGCCGACACAUCAAUCUUUUUUCCAGGUUGACCUCGGAUCAGGUAGGGAUACCCGCUGAACUUAAGCAUAUCAAUAAGCGGAGGA